GCAGUAGCCGCGGUAAUACGUAUGUCACAAGCGUUAUCCGGAUUUAUUGGGCGUAAAGCGCGUCUAGGUGGUUAUGUAAGUCUGAUGUGAAAAUGCAGGGCUCAACUCUGUAUUGCGUUGGAAACUGUGUAACUAGAGUACUGGAGAGGUAAGCGGAACUACAAGUGUAGAGGUGAAAUUCGUAGAUAUUUGUAGGAAUGCCGAUGGGGAAGCCAGCUUACUGGACAGAUACUGACGCUGAAGCGCGAAAGCGUGGGUAGCAAACAGGAUUAGAUACCCGCGUAGUCCCUGUCUCUUAUAAA
Molecule: ribosomal RNA, 302 nt
Filed under: uncultured bacterium
Lineage: Bacteria
Description: partial 16S ribosomal RNA
Rfam family: Bacterial small subunit ribosomal RNA
Source: RNAcentral